RNAcentral lists this non-coding RNA (30 nucleotides) under Rattus norvegicus (Norway rat). Lineage: Eukaryota; Metazoa; Chordata; Mammalia; Rodentia; Muridae. The record is from RNAcentral.
UUCUCAUGUACUUUAUAGCCUGCUGACUUC